Molecule: unclassified non-coding RNA, 161 nt
Filed under: uncultured fungus
Lineage: Eukaryota; Fungi
Description: sequence contains ITS1, 5.8S rRNA gene
Source: RNAcentral
CCGAGUUCAGUACUCACCAAACCCACUGUGAACAUACCUCUGUUGCCUCGGCGGGAUUGCCCCGGUGCUCCGCGCGCCGGACCAAGGCCCCCGCCGCAGGACCCAAACUCUUGUUUUUAUUAAUGUUUCUUCUGAGUGGCCUUUUGGCAAUAAAUAAGUUA